AGCCCGCUCAGAACUUAAAUGAAUGACGGGGGCCCGCACAAGCGGUGGAGCAUGUGGUUUAAUUCGAUGCAACGCGAAGAACCUUACCUGGGCUUGACAUCCCGAGAACUCCCCUGGAAACAGGGGAGUCGCCCUUCGGGGAGCUCGGAGACAGGUGCUGCAUGGCUGUCGUCAGCUCGUGUCGUGAGAUGGUUGGGUUAAGUCCCGCAACGAGCGCAACCCUUGUCUUUAAUUGCCAUCAUUGAGUUGGGCACUUUAAAGAGACUGCCGGUGUUAAACCGGAGGAAGGUGGGGAUGACGUCAAGUCCUCAUGGCCUUUAUGCCCAGGGCUACACACGUGCUACAAUGGGUGGUACAAAGAGAGGCAAGCUCGCGAGAGUAAGCAAAUCUCAAAAAGCCAUCCUCAGUUCGGAUUGGAGUCUGCAACUCGACCCCAUGAAGUCGGAAUCGCUAGUAAUCGCGGAUCAGCAUGCCGCGGUGAAUACGUUCCCGGGCCUA
This 498-nucleotide ribosomal RNA is filed under the name uncultured Syntrophus sp. RNAcentral's name for it is "bacterial SSU rRNA". It matches the Rfam family "Bacterial small subunit ribosomal RNA", at positions 885 to 1382 of the family's 1533-position model. Lineage: Bacteria; Pseudomonadati; Thermodesulfobacteriota; Syntrophia; Syntrophales; Syntrophaceae. The record is from RNAcentral.